GGCCUAUUGAAUAUAAUUUUAGGUCGAUCUGCCCAAUGAUUUUAAAUUUAAUGGCUGCGGUAUUUUGACUGUACAAAGGUAGCAUAAUCAAUUGUUUUUUAAUUGGAAACUGGAAUGAAAGAAUUAAUGAGAUAUAUACUGUCUCAUAUAUAAUAAAUGAAUUUAAAUUUUUAGUUAAAAUGCUUAAAUUAUUUUAUGGGACGAUAAGACCCUAUAGAAUUUUAUAUUAAUAUAAAUAGUUAUGUUUAUAAAAUUUUUGUAUUAAUAUUUAGUUGGGAGGAUUAGUAAAUUUAAAAAACUUUACUUUAAAUUUAAACUUUGAUUUAAGAAUUUUUUUGAUCUUGUAUUAUAAAAAUAAGAGUAAAUUACCUUAGGGAUAACAGCGUAAUAUCUUUUUAAAGGUCAUAUUAAUAAAGAUGAUUGCGACCUCGAUGUUGAAUUAAGAUAAAUUUUGGAUGGAGAAGUCUAAGAAUUAAGUCUGUUCGACUUUUAAAAUCUUACAUGAUUUGAGUUCA
RNAcentral lists this ribosomal RNA (515 nucleotides) under Bombus trifasciatus. RNAcentral describes it as "partial 16S ribosomal RNA". The stretch from base 376 to 515 matches the Rfam family "Bacterial large subunit ribosomal RNA", at positions 2473 to 2613 of the family's 2925-position model. The record is from RNAcentral. Lineage: Eukaryota; Metazoa; Arthropoda; Insecta; Hymenoptera; Apidae.